This 73-nucleotide transfer RNA is filed under the name Myxococcales bacterium. Its description in RNAcentral is "tRNA-Ser". It matches the Rfam family "tRNA". From Rfam's summary of the family: Transfer RNA (tRNA) molecules are approximately 80 nucleotides in length. The record is from RNAcentral. Lineage: Bacteria; Pseudomonadati; Myxococcota; Myxococcia; Myxococcales.
CGCGGGGUAGCGCAGGGGCCGUCGCGCCAGCUUGCUAAGCUGGAGGAGGCCGGUUCGAGUCCGGUCCCCGCGU